GGAAAACUACUAAAAGGUAUUUCACUGCAACAAAAAUUGAUUGAUAUUACUUGGUCCUAAAAAAAGUACUUGUGUAUAUACUCUUCAAUAGUUAAUGUUCCUUUUGUUCGCAGGGUAAACAAUCUUGGGUCAUGUGCUCUUUUCUCUUUACUUUGGAGUUUGUGUGGUUGUAAUCUCUUAUCAAUUUUGUAGGUUUGCUCUUUUCCUACACUUUUCAUGUGGGUGUUAAAUUUUGUUCUUCAUGAGAUAUAAAUUGUAUACUUUCUCAUCCAUUUCAUGGUUUGUUUACUUUCUCAUCCAUUUUCUACCGUCUUUGUUAGUUUCAUAUACUUUUUAUUUUUUGGCUGUUGUUAUUUUUUGGAUUCACAUCUGUUUCAUUUUCUGCCUGCUUUGUUCUUCCAAUUUAUAUUCCAUUUUUACUUUAGUUAAUACAAAUAUAUAGAUUUAAUCCUUGAUCAUGUCAAACAAAAUUAAUUAGGAUUGUUUACCAUUUUCCAUAGGUAUGCAUGUUUUCCCUCCUCUGUCAAUAUUAAUGAUAAUUCUUUUGAGGGGCUCUUUUCUACCUUACCAUUUCUAUUGUUUGUAUCUUUCACAUACAGUUAGUAUACUAUGGUACUGCAUAUUUGCUAAAGUUGUGUUCUUUAUCCAAACUUUGUAUCAUGAUUUUUACUUACUUUAAAAUGGUCUGAGAUUUUCCUUAGCUUUGCCUACCUUUGUUGCAUGUCUCACAAUUCCACUCACAGCCACUAUAUCUGCAUUUUCUCUAAAUUUUGGUACUUCAUUUGACUCAAGUCCAGUUAUAUAGUGAUUAUAAAUUUAAGUACAAUGUUUCAAAAUUUCGUUUUCUAAUUUGAAUUGUUCUGUGCACUAUCCAAAUGUUCCCCUGCAAAGUAGUGAGCACAUUGGGUUGUAUCCACUUAUGGUAUAUGUAAAACAAAAAAGUCCUUUUUAUGAACUGACAAUUGUUAAUAUUGUUAUUGAAUUCUUUCCUAGACCAUGCCUCUGGUUUUCUCCAAUUGUAUAUUCUGUUAAUAUUGAACUGACAAUUAAUAUUGUUAUUCAACUGACAAUU
This 1072-nucleotide long non-coding RNA is filed under the name Trifolium pratense (red clover). RNAcentral describes it as "long non-coding RNA (TPRA_LNC007154)". The record is from RNAcentral. Lineage: Eukaryota; Viridiplantae; Streptophyta; Magnoliopsida; Fabales; Fabaceae.